CGGGGAAUCGAGAGAAGCUGGUCCCAAAUAAUACGUCUGGAUCCGAUGCCUACAUCCUUCAUUGGUCUCUUCAAUUUUGUGUUACUCAAAAGCGCAAGCGACCCUUUGCGUGGAAGCUAAGGAAUGAGACACGAGAUAAUAUAUAUAAAUAUAUAUUGAAUAACGAAACUUCAUGUAGGAAGACAGUAACAAAACUGUUUGAAAAAACUUACAUAUAUUUUUUGGGUUGGACAACAGAAUAUGAAGCAAUAAUAAGAAACUUCAACUUGAGUUCCAGCAAUACAAUGGAACUCAAGUCUCUGCUCUUUUUUAACUGAAACGUCUAGGUUUUACUGAAACGUCUAGGUUUUAUCCACUAGAUGAUGACGUUCAGAUAUGAAUAAAAAUAUGAAGAAGUAUUCAUAUGGAGGUUCCUGAAUAUUCAUCUAAAAGUCAGCGUAUGUAGAUAACCCAAUUUUAACCAUGAUCAACUUUUCAUGCAACUCGGGUUACAAGUUAAUUGGCCUGAUUCACCCUGUUUUCAAUUGAAUAAUCAUAUAAUAUUUUGGUGUCGGUAAAUAAAAGGUUCACAGAAUAAUAACCUAAAGAUACGGUGAUGGCCACACUACACAAUUCCAAGAAGAAUUUUUGCAGUCCCGAAGUUUAUAGUCUUACGAUGAAUUAUUGUCCAUAGCAUGUAUGCUAUAAGUCGAGCAAUUCACACCAUUAAUUGUAUCAUGCCAUACGUACAUGUGCAUACGGUUUUCUAGAUAAUGCAUGAAUUUAGAUACAGUUAUAUAGAUGGAGUAUGUAUAUAUAUGAUUAUUAUACAUAGACAUGAGUUUGCAUGGACCCCUACCUGUUAUUAUUCGGGUGCAAUAAUAUAAGAAGCCAAAACACUAACAUCUGAAGUUAUGGACGCAUAAGCUCGACAAUACUAACACUUUCAUGCUCAUUUUUGUUC
Molecule: long non-coding RNA, 943 nt
Filed under: Brassica rapa (field mustard)
Lineage: Eukaryota; Viridiplantae; Streptophyta; Magnoliopsida; Brassicales; Brassicaceae
Description: long non-coding RNA (BRAP_LNC000052)
Source: RNAcentral